CCCCGCCCCGACGAAGCGGGGGACCCGCCGGGCGUCUCCCCCGCGUCCCCUGAGGGGCCCCCCCCCCCCCCCCCCCGGACGUCGAACCCGACCGUCGGCGGGGCCCGGUCGCCAGAGCGGCCCCGUCGGGGGAGGCGGGGAGAGGGGGCGGCGGGACGGGGCGGGACGGGGCGAGGGGAGGACCGGGGGCGGGCGCAAGCCGCCUCGUGCCGCGUGCCCCGACCCCGCCAGGCGAUGGUGACGCCCCUAGUAACUCGAACCAUUUCCAUCCAGCUUCUCAGGGCAGCCGGGAGCUUGUUUCCAUCACACCAGCUGACCCCGGGUCUCCUUUUCUCAACUCCAUUUUCAACUCCGUGCUGAAGAAGGGAGAGAACCUAGAGGGCGCCUUGUGACGCAGCCAGGAAGAUGUUUGGGGAGCUGGAUGGUGCAUGAAAGAUAUAAUAGGAAGUCUAUCGGAUCCCCAAGAAGAGCCAGACGGAGAAAGAGCACAGCGCCGACCGCGGGAGAGACGGCGGCGGGCACAGGGACCAGGCGGCCACCCCGAAGACGCCCAACCUGGCCAGGGAGCGGGACCAGGAGAGGCAAGCGCAGAGCAAAGAGAAGAAGAAACGGCGGGGGUCCCUCUCCCCGCCCCCGUCGGCCUACGAGCGAGGCUCCAAGCGAACGGACGACAGAUACGACACGCCGACGUCUUCCAAGAAGAAGGCGCGCCUCAAGGACCGCAACAAGCUGUCCACGGAGGAGCGCCGGAAGCUGUUCGAGCAGGAGGUGGCCCACAGGGAGGCCCAGAAGCAGCAGCUGCAGACGCUGGGGAUGGCCUCCCCGCUGCCCUACGAGCCCCUGGGCUUCGGCGGCCCCCACCACCCCUUCGUCGGCUACCCCCCCGGCUACCCCAUGCAGGCCUACGUGGAUCCCAGCAACCCCAAUGCUGGGAAGGUGCUAUUACCCACGCCCAGCCUGGACCCCAUGUGCUCCCCGGUGGGCUUCGAGCACGCCCAGACUCUGGCCGGCCCCGCGGCGGAGCCGGCCGCCCAGCACGCCGUGGACGUCGCCGCGGCCCCCUACGCCGCCCAGGGCGACGGCGCCGUCCACCAGGAGGCCGGGGUGGCCGUCCUGCCGGUGCCGGGCCCGGUGCCGGCCUACGGCGUGUGGGACGCGGGCCAGCCGACGGUGGCGGCCGUGCAGCCCACCUUCUCGCCCGCGCAGUCCCAGCCGGCCAUCUACUACCAGGGCCAGGCCUGCCCGGCCGUGUACGGGGUCGCGUCGCCGUACUCCCAGGCCGCCCCUCCCAUCGUGCAGAGUUACGCCCAGCCGGGUCUCCAGUACAUCCCAGGGCAGCAGAUCUUCGCGGCGCACCCGCAGGGCGUGGUGGUCCAGCCGGCCGCCGCGGUGACCACGAUCGUCACGGCGGGACAGCCCUUGCAACAGGUGAGCGGCGACUCGCGUGUGCUGACGGCCCCCGGACCUCCUCUGACGCCGUCCCCGCCUUCCCGGUCCUAUUUAUCGAGCGCUUCCUGCGUGCAGAUCACUGUCCCGAGCGCCCGGGGGAGAGGGCAGAGGGGUAGACACGUUCCCUGCCCUCACGAGCUUACGGUCUAGACGGGGACACGGACAGUAAUGAACGAAGUACGGGGCUGUGGGGCUGGUGGGUGGGUGAGUGAAGCAAGCAAAUGGGGGCGACGCGGAAGGGAGUGGGAAAAGGGGAAAGGAGGGCUUAGUCAGGGAGGGCCUCCCGGAGGAGACGGGCCUUCAGUGAGGCUUUGAACGAGGCAGACGGGGGUCCGUCGGAUGUGAAGAGGGAGGGAACUGCGGGCCAGGGGUCGGCGGCGCGGUAGACGAGACGGAGGGACAGAGAGUAGGGUGGCACUAGAGGAGCCAAAUGUACGGGCCGGGUCUCGACGGAGAGUGGCGAGGCGAGGGAGGAGGGGGCGAGGGGAUCGAGGGCUUUCAAGUCGUUGGGGGGGACUGUCUGAUGUGGAGCUAGACGGGCAACCACCGCAGGGUCUCGAGGAGCGGGGAAACGGAAGGGUUCGGGGUUCGGACGGCCCUCGUCUCUCGGGGGGCCGCGGGGCCGACGGUCGGUCCGCUGGCCGCUCGGGGUUCAACCGCGCUCCCCGCGUCUCCGCACGGUUUACGUCCCCUGGACUCGGCGUGACCUCCGCCGAGAGGCGUGCGUGAGCUGGGCCCCGACCCAGCCCGCACCGGGGCCGGGGGAGCGGGAGCCGGAGGGGCCGGCAGAGCCCCUCCAAGCCUUCCCGGCCACCGCCCUCGGG
RNAcentral lists this long non-coding RNA (2273 nucleotides) under Ornithorhynchus anatinus (platypus). Its description in RNAcentral is "lncRNA (ENSOANG00000048836.1)". Lineage: Eukaryota; Metazoa; Chordata; Mammalia; Monotremata; Ornithorhynchidae. The record is from RNAcentral.